GACGUAGGGAGCGAGCGUUGUCCGGAUUCAUUGGGCGUAAAGCGCGCGUAGGCGGUUUGGUAAGUCGGAUGUGAAAUCCCGAGGCUCAACCUCGGGACUGCAUCCGAUACUGCCCGACUAGAGGUAGGUAGGGGAGAUCGGAAUUCCUGGUGUAGCGGUGAAAUGCGUAGAUAUCGGAAGGAACAUCAGUGGCGAAAGCGACUUCCUGGACCAAUACUGACGCUCAUGUGCGAAAGCGUGGGGAGCAAACAGG
Molecule: ribosomal RNA, 253 nt
Filed under: uncultured bacterium
Lineage: Bacteria
Description: partial 16S ribosomal RNA
Rfam family: Bacterial small subunit ribosomal RNA
Source: RNAcentral